UACGUAGGGCGCAAGCGUUAUCCGGAAUUAUUGGGCGUAAAGAGCUCGUAGGCGGUUUGUCGCGUCUGCCGUGAAAGUCCGGGGCUCAACUCCGGAUCUGCGGUGGGUACGGGCAGACUAGAGUGCAGUAGGGGAGACUGGAAUUCCUGGUGUAGCGGUGGAAUGCGCAGAUAUCAGGAGGAACACCGGUGGCGAAGGCGGCCAUCUGGACGGUAACUGACGCUGAGACGCGAAAGCGUGGGUAGCAAACAGG
Molecule: ribosomal RNA, 253 nt
Filed under: uncultured bacterium
Lineage: Bacteria
Description: partial 16S ribosomal RNA
Rfam family: Bacterial small subunit ribosomal RNA
Source: RNAcentral